This is a long non-coding RNA of Anguilla rostrata (American eel), 908 nucleotides long. RefSeq lists it as uncharacterized. The transcript has 3 exons. The record is from RefSeq and is a predicted model, not a curated record. Lineage: Eukaryota; Metazoa; Chordata; Actinopteri; Anguilliformes; Anguillidae.
UUCAGUCAUCUUGUUGUGAAUUACCUGCUGGGGGAAAGUGGCCGGUGUGUGGGUGGAGUGUGAGAACAAGUGCUGAUUGAAAUGGUUUGGAUAAUUAUUUCCUUUGGCUGGAGAACCUUGAAUUGUGUUUUGACCCUGGCCUGUCCAAGAAGAACGAACAGAUUAGGAGUCCAAUGGAAGGAACUUUCUUCAAGAGAAAGAUAUCUAUCUACUGGUCCUAAGAUCGGUGUAGUAUUCUGCAGUCCAUGCCCUGGCCAGCUCACUGUCCUGUACAGAUCCUGAAUUCUACGUUUAUGUACAUGGUGGGAGGGAAAGCAGAGAAUCUCAGCUGGGAUGCAGGUUUUGAUUUCACCACCGCUCUAAACAUCAGAAUGCGCUAAUCCGCUCUUCCCUCGGGGAGUUUGGCUGGGGUGGAAAAUCGUGUCAAAAAAGUUGUGACAAUAAUUAAAGUGAUUUAAACAUGGCAGACCAAAACAAAUCCCAUUAGGCUGCAUUACAUAUUCAUAAAGUGCAUGUUAAAUCAAGCACAAAUUUGGAACGUGUAAGUGAGGUUAUGAGUACAACACUACUGACAAAAAAAAGAUAUCCUCUAUGAAACGCAUUCAAUCAGCACAGUGGCACAAUGAUAUGAAUUCCUAACCUGUGAUUAAAUGUUUUUAGAGCAGUUAAGGAAAUUUAAACUUGGAGCAAGGCCAUGUUUCUACAGCUCAGUCUGUUAACAAAAACCAAAGCAAUAAAAAUGGAAUAUAUUUCUUUAAGUUGCCAUGCAACCACUAAGAUAGAGGGGAUAAAAAGCCUAGAGCAGAAAAAAAAAAAUCAUGAGAAAAUGUGUACCUGUCUCAGUGUUUCAGUUUGCUGUUAUUCUGUGGAAUUAUUUGAAUUUUGAGAAGUGUGUCUUAUUGAAGUUU